AUUGAACGCUGGCGGCAGGCCUAACACAUGCAAGUCGAACGGUAACAGGAAGCAGCUUGCUGCUUCGCUGACGAGUGGCGGACGGGUGAGUAAUGUCUGGGAAGCUGCCUGAUGGGGGGGGAUAACUACUGGAAACGGUAGCUAAUACCGCAUAAUGUCGCAGGACCAAAGAGGGGGACCUUCGGGCCUCUUGCCAUCGGAUGUGCCCAGAUGGGAUUAGCUUGUUGGUGGGGUAACGGCUCACCAAGGCGACGAUCCCUAGCUGGUCUGAGAGGAUGACCAGCCACACUGGAACUGAGACACGGUCCAGACUCCUACGGGAGGCAGCAGUGGGGAAUAUUGCACAAUGGGCGCAAGCCUGAUGCAGCCAUGCCGCGUGUAUGAAGAAGGCCUUCGGGUUGUAAAGUACUUUCAGCGGGGAGGAAGGGAGUAAAGUUAAUACCUUUGCUCAUUGACGUUACCCGCAGAAGAAGCACCGGCUAACUCCGUG
Molecule: ribosomal RNA, 490 nt
Filed under: uncultured bacterium
Lineage: Bacteria
Description: partial 16S ribosomal RNA
Rfam family: Bacterial small subunit ribosomal RNA
Source: RNAcentral